AACGAACGCUGGCGGCAUGCCUAACACAUGCAAGUCGAACGAGACCUUCGGGUCUAGUGGCGCACGGGUGCGUAACGCGUGGGAAUCUGCCCUUGGGUUCGGAAUAACAGUUGGAAACGACUGCUAAUACCGGAUGAUGACGUAAGUCCAAAGAUUUAUCGCCCAAGGAUGAGCCCGCGUAGGAUUAGCUAGUUGGUGAGGUAAAGGCUCACCAAGGCGACGAUCCUUAGCUGGUCUGAGAGGAUGAUCAGCCACACUGGGACUGAGACACGGCCCAGACCCCACCGGGAGGCGGCAGUGGGAAUAUUGGACAAUGGGCGAAAGCCUGAUCCAGCAAUGCCGCGUGAGUGAUGAAGGCCUUAGGGUUGUAAAGCUCUUUUACCCGGGAUGAUAAUGACAGUACCGGGAGAAUAAGCGCCGGCUAACUCCGUG
This 432-nucleotide ribosomal RNA is filed under the name uncultured bacterium. Its description in RNAcentral is "partial 16S ribosomal RNA". It matches the Rfam family "Bacterial small subunit ribosomal RNA", at positions 29 to 507 of the family's 1533-position model. The record is from RNAcentral.